CGUGUAGGCAGCGCACGGCAGCCUAAGGGGCUGGGUCUCUGUGGUGCAAUCGGUAAGCGCGUUCGGCUGUUAACCGAAAGCUUGGUGGUUCAAGCCCACCCAGGGGACGUGGUCCUAAUUUUCUGCAACCCCUGAGCGAUUUUUAACCGAAUAUGAGCACAACGCUGCCCCGUUUCCAGCGCAGGAAACCCUGUCCAGGGGGAGGACAAUACGUAUCCACUUACAGUUUACUUCCUAACGCGGUUGGGCCUGGCUACGCAGCAUCUGGACUGGGAGCCUAAGUCUGGCGUUCAAACUCAUCCUUUCUCUGAGCGGACUUGGACAUGAGCUCCAGGAUACCAAGAAUGGUAUCAUGGCAACGGAAAAAGCAGCCACGGCCCACGGACAGGUACACGGGUGAACACCUUUGGCUUCUCUCUGAACUGUUGGACCGCACCAAAUACCGGAACGUAGUUAUUAUUUCCAUAAAGAUCAGAUGGUGUGAGAAGUAGUCCUCUAGAGGCAAGUGGAAGCGCACUGUCCUAGGAAAUGAGUCACUGAACUUUGGUCAUGCCUUUUGGACAAAUGGACUUGAAUCUAGGAAAAGACACCACGUUUCGCUUAGCCGGCUGCAGAUUUCCUCUGAAAUCCAACUCAAAAUAACAGAAAUAGUAUGGAUGAGCUCCUUGUAAAAAGCUUCAAAUGAUAUAUUUUCAACUCUAGUCUCACGGAGGACACAAGUAUUCUUCAAGUCCAUGUUUCACUUAAGACUUUGUAUAAAAAUAGAGAAGCAUAUAAUUCUCUGCCGAUCCUAAAACCAUCUGGUGGAUGCUUUGUCUCUGAAAUCUACUGAAUGGUGCUGUGCUCGGAGGUGGAAAGUCAGAUAAAAAUGCAAGUAAGGAGCAUCAGCAGGGAGCCCCACAGAAAAAUGUUUCUGGAUGGUUAUAGUGGUCAAUAUAGACCAAAGCUCUGUCUUCUUGGAAGAUUUGAAACAACGCUGAAAGAUCUGAGAGGAAGCAAGGCAGGGGAGGGGCAUUCAAGGGUUGGGGAGAUUGCAGGUGGGUGAGCAUAAGCAUUGUGGAAGAUGGGCUUACUCUAAAAAGAAGCAGUGGAAGUUUUUGUAACUGUGGAAGGGCCCUGGGCACCUAGGGAUGAGGCUAGAUGUCACCUUGUAGAGUAGCGGUUUCAUCUUUAGGACAAAAUAAAAUCCAUGUUAGGUGGUUGGUCUGGCUAUAGUAUAGGAGAAAUAAGAGUUCAGACAAUGGUUAACAGAAUUAUAUUUCAAGGGAGGGGC
RNAcentral lists this transfer RNA (1273 nucleotides) under Heterocephalus glaber (naked mole-rat). RNAcentral describes it as "lncRNA (ENSHGLG00100051172.1)". The stretch from base 37 to 105 matches the Rfam family "tRNA". The record is from RNAcentral. Lineage: Eukaryota; Metazoa; Chordata; Mammalia; Rodentia; Bathyergidae.